Molecule: ribosomal RNA, 425 nt
Filed under: uncultured bacterium
Lineage: Bacteria
Description: partial 16S ribosomal RNA
Rfam family: Bacterial small subunit ribosomal RNA
Source: RNAcentral
GUGGGGAAUCUUGCGCAAUGGGCGAAAGCCUGACGCAGCCAUGCCGCGUGAAUGAUGAAGGUCUUAGGAUUGUAAAAUUCUUUCACCGGGGACGAUAAUGACGGUACCCGGAGAAGAAGCUCCGGCUAACUUCGUGCCAGCAGCCGCGGUAAUACGAAGGGGGCUAGCGUUGCUCGGAAUUACUGGGCGUAAAGGGCGCGUAGGCGGACAGCUUAGUCAGAGGUGAAAGCACAGGGCUCAACCUUGGAAUUGCCUUUGAUACUGGCUGUCUUGAGUUUGGGAGAGGUGAGUGGAACUCCGAGUGUAGAGGUGAAAUUCGUAGAUAUUCGGAAGAACACCAGUGGCGAAGGCGACUCACUGGCCCAAUACUGACGCUGAGGCGCGAAAGCGUGGGGAGCAAACAGGAUUAGAAACCCUUGUAGUCC